CUCUCUCUCUCUCUGUGUGUGUGUGUGUGUGUGUGUGUGUUGGUCAGGGUUCUUUAAAGGGACAGAACUAAUAGGAUAGAUGAAUAUAUGAAGAGGAGCUUAUUAGGAGAAUUGACUCACACAGUCACAAGGUGAAGUCUCACAAUAGGUUGUCUGCAAGCUGAGGAGGCAGGAAGCCAGUCUGAGUCCCAAAACCUCAAAAGUAGGAAAGCCGAUAGUGUAGCCUUCAGUCUGUGACCAAAGGCUCAAGAGCCCCUGGCAAAUCACUGGUGUUAGUCCAAGUGUCCAGUGUGUGUGUGUAUGUGUGUGUUUAAUAUCUCAGUUAUGUCUAAGCCCCAGACAACAGGUUUCAUGGACAGUGAUAAUCAUAUGCUCUUUGAAAAAUAUAACUACCCCAAA
This 399-nucleotide long non-coding RNA is filed under the name Pan troglodytes (chimpanzee). RNAcentral describes it as "long non-coding RNA NONPTRT013388". The record is from RNAcentral. Lineage: Eukaryota; Metazoa; Chordata; Mammalia; Primates; Hominidae.